RNAcentral lists this long non-coding RNA (1132 nucleotides) under Homo sapiens (human). RNAcentral describes it as "HSALNT0337779". Lineage: Eukaryota; Metazoa; Chordata; Mammalia; Primates; Hominidae. The record is from RNAcentral.
CCGGGACGUGAUGGUCUCUGAGCUGCAGCUCUGCCAGCCGCGUCUCGUUUCCUCCUUCCUAUUUUGAAGACCUGAAAAUCUGAACGACUUCAUUUCAGUUUCCUUCCUCCGUCCUGACUGGAAGUCACACUCUGUCCAGAUGAUUAGCGACAACACUUAGAAAAUCCUCCAAGUGGCCCGGCAAGGCCCUGGGAGGUCACAGGAGCAGCUUCCUGUUGUCAGAGCGGGCUGCUGGGGGUGGGUUCGGGGCGGCCUGGAAGAGCAGGGAGGAAGGGAGGGGGCCCCACGGCUGGAACAGAUCAGAUCUGUCCAUUCUAGAAUCAGCCAAUACAGGGGAGGGGUCCCGGGUUCUAGUUUGCAGCCUCUGACUAGAAGGGCCCUGAGGAAAAGAGAAACAAAGAGGAGAGAAGGAGUAGGCGGAGACGUGGCAGCUCCCACGGGUGCUUCCUUGUAUAUUAUCACAUCUAUGGGAACCUCAGUGUCCUGGGAGCCACCUCAUUACUCCCAGUGCAGGGGAGGAAACUGAGGCAAAGAGCGGCUUUGGUGACAUACCCAGGCCCCUACUGUAAAUAAGGGAGACCAGACUCCCAAAGGUGGCUGGCCAGAAGGCACCGCCCAGGGCUGCUCAGGUACCACCCAAAGGCCAGCAGCCACCAUGAGGUGCCAUGGAGCAGACCACAGCCAGCCCAGCCCCAAGACCAGCACACUUAACACCUCGCCCCUGCCCCCCAAGUCUGUUCCCGGGUCACCUCUGCCAGCUCCACAGAAAUCCACGAAAUUACAGCCUCCAGAACUCAGCCACCAUGGGUACAGGUCAGUAGCAUGGAGCACAUUCAGACUGCUGUGCAACCAUCACCACCAUCCAGCUCCAGAUCUCUUUUCAGCCUGCAAAACUGAAACUCUCAGCUCAUUAAACAUAACUUCCCAUUUCCCCAGUCCCUGGCACCCACCAUUGUACGUUCUGUCUCAAUAAAUAUGAUGAUUCUAGGCAGCUCUUAGGAGUGGAACUGUACAGUAUUUGUCCUUUUGUCACCGGCUUAUUUUGCUCAGCAUUAUAUCUUCAAUACAAACUCCCGGGCUCAAGCAAUCCUCCUACCUCAGCCUCCUGAGCAGCUGGAACUACAGGCACACA